CGAGUCGGCGGGGUGAUCGCGGCCGGUGCGCGAGCACCGGGCGAGGAAAGUCCGGACUCCGCAGAGCAGGGUGGUGGGUAACGCCCACCCGGGGUGACCCGCGGGAAAGUGCCACAGAAAGUAGACCGCCCCUUCGGGGGUAAGGGUGAAAGGGUGGUGUAAGAGACCACCGGCAGCUCGGGUGACCGAGGUGGCCGGGUAAACCCCACCCGGAGCAAGACCGAACAGGGAGUGUUCGACGGCUGCUCGCCGGAGCUCCCGGGUAGGUUGCUGGAGGCCGUCGGCAACGACGGUCCUAGAUGGAUGAUCACCCGCCCCGUCCGGGGCGACAGAAUCCGGCUUACACGCCGACUCGUUCC
RNAcentral lists this RNase P RNA (359 nucleotides) under Propionibacterium sp. Its description in RNAcentral is "RNase P RNA component class A". It matches the Rfam family "Bacterial RNase P class A". From Rfam's summary of the family: Ribonuclease P (RNase P) is a ubiquitous endoribonuclease, found in archaea, bacteria and eukarya as well as chloroplasts and mitochondria. Lineage: Bacteria; Bacillati; Actinomycetota; Actinomycetes; Propionibacteriales; Propionibacteriaceae. The record is from RNAcentral.